Long non-coding RNA from Centruroides sculpturatus (bark scorpion), 408 nucleotides. RefSeq lists it as uncharacterized. The transcript is spliced from 2 exons. NCBI's taxonomy places the organism in Eukaryota, Metazoa, Arthropoda, Arachnida, Scorpiones, Buthidae. The record is from RefSeq and is a predicted model, not a curated record.
AAUAAUGUUUCUUCAAAUAAUUGAUAACAAUAAAUAAUAAAUGAGAACAAUAAUUAACAAUAAAUUAAAUUUUAUUCAAUUCCGAAGAAGGUGCAGGGAGGAUGUAGAAUGGUCUGUUGGAAUAAGAACUAUUUCCCUUCAGUGUAUAAAUUAAUUUAGUCCUAAAAUUCUUAGUGUUUUAUGUUUGAAAAAUAAGAUUUUUUGGGGUGGUCUGUUCCUGUUAUAUAAGACCACAUCAUAUAAGUAUUGUGAGCCUGUCUGAAUCUACGAUAAGCCUGGAAGAAAGGCCCUAAGGAUGGAAAAUUAAGAAAUAAAAAGAAAGAAGAAAGUUUGCAUCCCCAUUUCAAAAGAAUCUUGUAAUACCUGUUGCAUAAAUCGUUUCUCUCAUUAAAAAAGCAUAAUUCGAAA